This 2767-nucleotide long non-coding RNA is filed under the name Pelobates cultripes (western spadefoot toad). Lineage: Eukaryota; Metazoa; Chordata; Amphibia; Anura; Pelobatidae. The record is from RNAcentral.
UAUUUUUUUACCCAAGGGGUAAAUGUGAACUCAAAUGGACUUUUUAAAACCACACUGUACUUAGGCACCUUAGGUUUUCUUUCAUAAUUAUGUGGAAAAAUAAAAUUGUAGUAUUUUGCUUAAAGCCCAAGUAGUUCUGAAAUUACAAUCAUGUUUCCUAUGCCAAAAUUGAUUAAUCCACUUAUUUUUGCCUUCUGUACAUCCCUACCAUAGUUGGUUUAUUUCAUUUUGAACAACAGAUUGUAAUGGUGUAGACCUUUAUUGGCAUUAAAGAAUUAAAAUGUAACUGGUAAGGAAAAUAACUUUAGGAAUCAUAACAUAUGUCCUUCACAUUUAUUUAUUUUGUUACAAGAGCAGACUUGGUUAUGUUCUGACUUUCACUGUGGCACGCAGAUAACAAAGCGUCUUAAUGACUCUUUGCAUAACAUCCCAAAAAUAUAGAAUGUGUUAGUUGUUUAAUUGUAGGACAAAAGCAAUGGUUACGGAUACACUCCAAGCACCUCUGCUAAAUUAAUUAAUUUAUCAUAUGUUAUAGGGUUGUAGUUGACUAUUAUUUUCAUAAUCACUUUUUUGUAAUUAAUUAGAUAACAUUUAUUUUUGCUUUUUAUGUGGGUGUCAGCCUAUCCGAUGCCAGGGUCAGGGUUUAACCAAUAUAGACUGUUACAAUGCUUGCUGAGUUGACAAACAUAUCUCCCAGUGGUCCUGAGCAGGUAGGUAUGUCUUGAUUUUGGAAAUGUGUCCGUGGAAAUUUUUCUCAGUGCUGAUUCUGUGAACACUAGAAAGGGCUGGGUAAACUGCAAAUGGGUGUUUCAGCCCACAGAAGACCUCCUGUGCAGCAAUCUAGUUGGCUGACCACAUUGUAUGUCUGCCAAGUGUGGGGCAGGCUGCCACUUCUGUUAAUGGUUAUACUCCUGCAUAUUACUGGCACAUCUGCACCAUGGCUUCUCCUGUCUAUAACAGUAGAGCUGAGAAAAAGUUACCACAGUGGCCCUGCCAAUGUCUUUGGUAGAAACUGAAUAUUAAAACUACACAAUAUAUUUUCUUAGGGCUUUUUCAAAAUGCAGUUGUAAUAAUUUUUUUUCUGAAACAGAAGUAACGCUGUGAAUAAAUGGGCUCCUUGCUUUGCUCAGACCAGCUGACGUUUUAGAGAUACAACUAGGAGAGCUUCCUGAACCACAACACAGUCAGACUCUGUCCUAUGACGUUCAACAUCCUCAGAAGUAUUUGAUUAGCGGAACACUGUGAUUGCCACCCAUGCACCUUUUGUCCACAAUGCUUCUCUAUGAGAAGCGUUAAUUGGACAAAAUGUCAUCAAGCUAGGUGACAUCAGAUAGGCAGACCAGACUGUGCAGGAGAGGCUAUCUUAAUGCUGCAUCCCCUGUAAGUUAGGUGUUCUUUUAAUUGUGUGUUUUUAGUUUUUAUUAAAAAUGGGGGGAAGGGUGGCCUGCUACAAAAAAAUUAAAAUAGGGAAUUAUAGUGUACCUUUUAUAUAUAAACCAAUGCUCUUUUUGACACUGCUUAUAUUCAAACUCGAAUAGUAUUUAUUAUGUAAGAGAGCUGGGCUAACCUGCCCAUAGCCCUCUCCACCAAUUAUCGUCAUUCAGGUUGGAUGAAAUUAAUGUUAAUGAGAAAUUAAUAAAUCUCCACUAUCAAUCCUGCACUGACCCUUUUUUUUUUUUCCAAUCAGUUACUAUUUGAUAUAAAGCUGUGGGUUGAUAUCACGCUACUGUAGGCAAAAAAAAACAAAAACACUUCAGCUGUAGUGGUUUUGUUGAUUGGAGUGCCCCUUUAAUACAUGAUAUGGGAAAUAUUCUUGGGUAGAUAACUAUCAGCUUUCUUGCUGCUGUGAACUUUAUAUGUAUUCAUGAGUACCAGCCCAAUGCUAUCCCUUGAACUACUGCAUGAUUGUAGUUGAAGGAAGCCUUUCAUUGCUGGACUGUGUAUUGCCUGUAACUGUGCUGUGGUUUUAUACUGUGAAAUACAUCUUAUUGUUUUUACACUGUCAAAGGUGUUAUUCUCCCGUUACUGGUAUCUCCUCCAAGUGAGCUCAGUUAAGGUGUACUGAAUAUGCAAUAUGUUGCAAUAUGUUCUCAUAACUGACUCUUGUUCACCUGAAUAAUAACCUGGGUGUGAAAUGUUGUUGUAUCAUUUGUUGCUCAUCCUAGUUCACUUACAGAGGAGUGGCCAGCAGCAGCAAGACGUAUGAGGACAAUGCACCUUAAAUACUUAGAUGUCUGGUCAUGCUAAAAAAAUACUUUUAAUUUAUGGACCUGUUGGCAGUUUUCUUAACCCUAUGUUUAGCAGAGACUCUUUAGCACUCUGGCUGUUAGAGGGCCACUUUCAUGCCAUACUUACCUGGGCACACUUAAAGAAAUCCAAGAUUCAGCGGGUUGGUAAAUGGGGACCAAUAUUGCUUGACAGUGCAAACUCUUUAUUCGGUCACCUGUUUGUAUAGUUUUAGCUGUAGCGAUUCCCAUAAAAUGUAGACGAUCGGUACAUAUAGGCUUUAAACAGCCUGGUAUUAGUGAACACAUGGAGGUGUAAAACAUCUGUAAACUGCACAAGAAGUACUAAUACUGUUUCAUUAUGAUGUGUUUUUAUUAUGAUGUUUAGACUGGGAAAAUAAAUAAAAACCUGAUUUGUAUUAAUACUUUUCAGCCUGGAGCUGUUUUUCUGUUUUUGACUGAAAUAAAACAUUUUGAUCAUAUUUUGUUUUUGGUGUGUUCUUUAGGGGAGGAAUUCAUUGCCACACAAAUUUCACUGCUUG